AACUCUUUAAAGAUACCUACUUUAGUAAGUUGUUUGGAAAUAGAGCGCUGGUAGGGGCCGUUAACUCAGGUAGUAGUAGAGUCUUAAAUAGAGGUGUGGGGCCCCACGUUGGGCGCCAAGUGUCGCAAUACAAAACCUUCAGCCCCGCCCCUUGGCCGGCAGCGGGGUGCUAGAGGUGGUUAGCGUCCCGUUCCCUGGAUUGGACAGGGCACUAUAGAUACUUCAGGUUAUCUCGGUAUAACCAGGACCGCUCGCGUAGCCUUGCCUCUCUUUCUAUAUCGAAGUGUUGUCUGCGUAGAGAGGUCUUUUGCCUUGUCACUCUCAACGGUCUAGCUCUAGCUGGGAUGUGUGAACCCCACCUUUAUCCUCUAGACUCUUUGUUUCACCACUAAUUGGUCCUUGAGUUAUUAUUAAGCACUAGUCCUACCAGUCUCUAUAUGAUUUCCCUGUGGUUGAGUGUUUCCCCUCUGUGAUGUAUCUAGUUUAAAGUGUGAAGACCUUUAGUCAACUUAGCGGGGAGUGUCAGGGUUGUUAUCUCCCGUGCCGUUAACUGUCUUUGAGAGAACCUUUUACUCGAGACAAAAUAAGACUACCGUUUAUUUUUGAAAACACUGUGUUUUUUUUGUCUUUUUACAAUCAAACACACUUCAAAAUACACAAUUUGUUACUCGGUCACACACAGCGUUAAUCAAAAACAUGCAAAUGCUAUUUAUAAACAGGUAGAACAGUCUCGUCCAACCAUCUCUUUCAGUUGGGUACGAUGCAAUUUAUAAACAGGUAGAACAGUCUCGUCCAACCAUCUCUUUCAGUUGGGUACGAUGCUAUUUAUAAACAGGUAGAACAGUCUCGUCCAACCAUCCCUUUCAGUUGGGUACGAUGCUAUUUAUAAACAGGUAGAACAGUCUCGUCCAACCAUCCCUUUCAGUUGGGUACGAUGCUAUUUAUAAACAGGUAGAACAGUCUCGUCCAACCAUCCCUUUCAGUUGGGUACGAUGCUAUUUAUAAACAGGUAGAACAGUCUCGUCCAACCAUCCCUUUCAGUUGGGUACGAUGCAAUUUAUAAACAGGUAGAACAGUCUCGUCCAACCAUCUCUUUCAGUUGGGUACGAUGCAAUUUAUAAACAGGUAGAACAGUCUCGUCCAACCAUCUCUUUCAGUUGGGUACGAUGCAAUUUAUAAACAGGUAGAACAGUCUCGUCCAACCAUCUCUUUCAGUUGGGUACGAUGCAAUUUAUAAACAGGUAGAACAGUCUCGUCCAACCAUCUCUUUCAGUU
Oncorhynchus keta (chum salmon) is the source of this 1275-nucleotide long non-coding RNA. RefSeq lists it as uncharacterized. The record is from RefSeq and is a predicted model, not a curated record. NCBI's taxonomy places the organism in Eukaryota, Metazoa, Chordata, Actinopteri, Salmoniformes, Salmonidae. The transcript has 4 exons.